RNAcentral lists this ribosomal RNA (515 nucleotides) under Apomachaerota reticulata. Its description in RNAcentral is "partial 16S ribosomal RNA". The stretch from base 388 to 515 matches the Rfam family "Bacterial large subunit ribosomal RNA", at positions 2473 to 2600 of the family's 2925-position model. The record is from RNAcentral. Lineage: Eukaryota; Metazoa; Arthropoda; Insecta; Hemiptera; Machaerotidae.
GUUUUUUAGAAUUUAUUUUAAAGAUUUAAUCUGCCCAAUGAUUAUUUAAUGGCCGCAGUAAUUUGACUGUGUAAAAGUAGCAUAAUAAUUAGUCUUUUAAUUGAAGUCUGGAAUGAAUGAUUGGAUGAGAAAAUUACUUUCUUUAAUUUUUUAUUAUUAUAAUUUGAUUUUUAAGUGAAAAAGCUUAAGUUUUUUUUUGGGACGAUAAGACCCUAUAGAGUUUAAUAUUUUUUUUAUUAAUAAAUUUUUAGAUUUUAUAUUUUGUUUAAUAAUUUAAAUUUUUAGUUGGGGUGACUAUUAAAAAAAUUUAUCUUUAUUUUUUUUAUUCAUUUUUAUUUGAUUUUUUUGAUCCAUUAUUUAUUGAUUAUAAGAUAAAGUUACCUUAGGGAUAACAGCGUAAUUUGUUUUUAGAGUUCUUAUCGAUGAAUAAGUUUGCGACCUCGAUGUUGGAUUAAGAUUAGAAAAGGGUGAAGGUUUUCUUUAUUCUAGGUCUGUUCGACCUUUAAAUUCUUACA